RNAcentral lists this ribosomal RNA (876 nucleotides) under uncultured candidate division WS6 bacterium. Its description in RNAcentral is "bacterial SSU rRNA". It matches the Rfam family "Bacterial small subunit ribosomal RNA", at positions 50 to 890 of the family's 1533-position model. The record is from RNAcentral.
AAGGUAUGCAAGUCGAACGAUCCCUUUGAAUUACUUGAAACUUCGGUUGAUUGUAUUUCUUUUUGGGAUAGUGGCAAACGGGUGAGUAACACGUGGAUAACCUGCCUUAAAGUCAUGAACAGCUCAUCGAAAGAUGGGAUAAUACAUGAUAGUCUUACAAUUUCUAUCCGACUUUGUAAGUAAAGCUCCGGCGCUUUAAGAGGGGUCCGCGUCCUAUCAGCUUGUUGGUGAGGUAAUAGCUCACCAAGGCUAAGACGGGUAGCUGGCGUGAGAGCGCGGUCAGCCACCAUGGAACUGAGACACGGUCCAUACUCCUACGGGAGGCAGCAAUUAGGAAUCUUGCGCAAUGGGGGCAACCCUGACGCAGCGACACAGCGUGGAGGACGAAGGUCUUCGGAUUGUAAACUCCUUUUAUAUGGGAAGAAUAGAUGACGGUACCAUAUGAAUAAGCACCUGCUAACUACGUGCCAGAAGCAUCGGUGAUACGUAGGGUGCGAACGUUAUCCGGAUUUAUUGGGCGUAUAGAGAUGCGUAGGCGUUUCUGUAAGUCUGAAGUUAAAGCCCACGGCUUAACCGUGGAAAAGCUUUGGAAACUGCAGAAAUUGAGACAGGAAGAGGCGAAUGGAAUUCCCAGUGGAGCGGUGAAAUGCGUUGAUAUUGGGAGGAACAUCAGUGGCGAAGGCGAUUCGCUGGUCCUUGUCUGACGCUGAGGCUCGAAAGCGUGGGUAGCAAAACGGAUUAGAUACCCGUGUAGUCCACGCCGUAAACUAUGGAUGCUAGGUGUUCGGUACAACCGUUUUUUCCUUCGGGAAAAGAUGGAAGUAUUGAGUGCCGCAGCUAACGCGUUAAGCAUCCCGCCUGGGAAGUACGGNCGCA